Molecule: small RNA, 258 nt
Filed under: Pan troglodytes (chimpanzee)
Lineage: Eukaryota; Metazoa; Chordata; Mammalia; Primates; Hominidae
Description: Metazoan signal recognition particle RNA (ENSPTRG00000052152.1)
Source: RNAcentral
GCUGGGUGUGGUGGCUCACACCUGUAAUCCCAGCACUUGGGGAGGCAGAGGCAGGUGGAUCACCUGAGGUCAGGAGUUCGACAACAGCCUGGCCAACAUGGUGAAACAACAUCUCUACUAAAAAUACAAAAAAUUAGUCAUGGCCGGGUGCGGGGGCUCAUGCCUGUAAUCCCAGCUCUUUGGGAGGCCGAGGUGGGCAGAUCACUUGAGGCCAGGAGUUCGAGACCAGCCUGGCCAACAUGGUAAAACCCCGUCUCU